CCCAGACAGCCAGGAUGUUGGCUUAGAAGCAGCCAUCAUUUAAAGAAAGCGUAAUAGCUCACUGGUCGAGUCGGCCUGCGCGGAAGAUGUAACGGGGCUAAACCAUGCACCGAAGCUGCGGCAGCGAACGUAUCACCCAAGACAACUUUACGGAGUUGACGAUUGACGGAGCGAAGCGACGUCAAAGCGUUCAUUAAAGUCGAGUUGGCUUAGGGAUACGUUCGUUGGGUAGGGGAGCGUUCUGUAAGCCUGUGAAGGUGUGUCGUGAGGCAUGCUGGAGGUAUCAGAAGUGCGAAUGCUGACAUAAGUAACGAUAAAGCGGGUGAAAAGCCCGCUCGCCGGAAGACCAAGGGUUCCUGUCCAACGUUAAUCGGGGCAGGGUGAGUCGACCCCUAAGGCGAGGCCGAAAGGCGUAGUCGAUGGGAAACGGGUUAAUAUUCCCGUACUUGGUGUUACUGCGAAGGGGGGACGGAGAAGGCUAUGUUGGCCGGGCGACGGUUGUCCCGGUUUAAGCGUGUAGGUGUGUGUUCCAGGUAAAUCCGGUUCACUUUAACACUGAGGCGUGACGACGAGGCACUACGGUGCUGAAGCAACAAAUGCCCUGCUUCCAGGAAAAGCCUCUAAGCAUCAGGUAACAUCAAAUCGUACCCCAAACCGACACAGGUGGUCAGGUAGAGAAUACCAAGGCGCUUGAGAGAACUCGGGUGAAGGAACUAGGCAAAAUGGUGCCGUAACUUCGGGAGAAGGCACGCUGACACGUAGGUGAAGUGAUUUACUCAUGGAGCUGAAGUCAGUCGAAGAUACCAGCUGGCUGCAACUGUUUAUUAAAAACACAGCACUGUGCAAACACGAAAGUGGACGUAUACGGUGUGACGCCUGCCCGGUGCCGGAAGGUUAAUUGAUGGGGUCAGCGUAAGCGAAGCUCCUGAUCGAAGCCCCGGUAAACGGCGGCCGUAACUAUAACGGUCCUAAGGUAGCGAAAUUCCUUGUCGGGUAAGUUCCGACCUGCACGAAUGGCGUAAUGAUGGCCAGGCUGUCUCC
This 1041-nucleotide ribosomal RNA is filed under the name Salmonella enterica. RNAcentral's name for it is "partial 23S ribosomal RNA". It matches the Rfam family "Bacterial large subunit ribosomal RNA", at positions 1084 to 2023 of the family's 2925-position model. RNAcentral also lists the same sequence under 1 other name. The record is from RNAcentral. Lineage: Bacteria; Pseudomonadati; Pseudomonadota; Gammaproteobacteria; Enterobacterales; Enterobacteriaceae.